GACGAACGCUGGCGGCGUGCUUAACACAUGCAAGUCGAACGAAGUGGCGAACGGGUGAGUAACGUGUAAUCAACCUGCCCUUCCGAGGGGGACAACAGUUGGAAACGACUGCUAAUCCCCCAUACUGAUGGGUGGGAUUGAGUUGUCUUAGCUCGUUGGCGGGGUAACGGCCCACCAAGGCGAUGAUAAAUAGCCGGGCUGGGAGUGUGAACGGCCACAGUGGGACUGAGACACGGCCCAGACUCCUACGGGAGGCAGCAGUGGGGAAUCUUCCGCAAUGGACGAAAGUCUGACGGAGCAACGCCGCGGGAGUGAUGACGGGCUUCGGGUUGUAAAGCUCUGUUAAUCGGGACGCGGUACCGGAAUAGAAAGCCACGGCUAACUACGUGCCAGCAGCCGCGGUAAUAC
This 408-nucleotide ribosomal RNA is filed under the name uncultured bacterium. Its description in RNAcentral is "partial 16S ribosomal RNA". It matches the Rfam family "Bacterial small subunit ribosomal RNA", at positions 28 to 526 of the family's 1533-position model. The record is from RNAcentral.